GAUGAACGCUGGCGGCGUGCCUAAUACAUGCAAGUCGAGCGAACAGACGAGGAGCUUGCUCCUCUGACGUUAGCGGCGGACGGGUGAGUAACACGUGGAUAACCUACCUAUAAGACUGGGAUAACUUCGGGAAACCGGAGCUAAUACCGGAUAAUAUAUUGAACCGCAUGGUUCAAUAGUGAAAGACGGUUUUGCUGUCACUUAUAGAUGGAUCCGCGCCGCAUUAGCUAGUUGGUAAGGUAACGGCUUACCAAGGCAACGAUGCGUAGCCGACCUGAGAGGGUGAUCGGCCACACUGGAACUGAGACACGGUCCAGACUCCUACGGGAGGCAGCAGUAGGGAAUCUUACGCAAUGGGCGAAAGCCUGACGGAGCAACGCCGCGUGAGUGAUGAAGGUCUUCGGAUCGUAAAGCGCUGUUAUUAGGGAAGAACAAAUGUGUAAGUAACUGUGCACGUCUUGACGGUACCGAAUCAGAAAGCCACGGCUAACUACGUG
Molecule: ribosomal RNA, 497 nt
Filed under: uncultured bacterium
Lineage: Bacteria
Description: partial 16S ribosomal RNA
Rfam family: Bacterial small subunit ribosomal RNA
Source: RNAcentral